This 341-nucleotide unclassified non-coding RNA is filed under the name soil metagenome. RNAcentral's name for it is "partial contains 5.8S ribosomal RNA, internal transcribed spacer 2, and large subunit ribosomal RNA". The stretch from base 1 to 120 matches the Rfam family "5.8S ribosomal RNA", at positions 35 to 154 of the family's 154-position model. The record is from RNAcentral.
GAUGAAGAACGCAGCGAAAUGCGAUAAGUAAUGUGAAUUGCAGAAUUCAGCGAAUCAUCGAAUCUUUGAACGCACAUUGCGCCCCCUGGUAUUCCGGGGGGCACGCCUGUUCGAGCGUCAUUUCAACCCUCAAGCCCCCGGCUUGACGUUGGGCGCGGCCCCUCCCUCGGGGGGGGCCCGCCUGAAACCCCUCGGCGUCGCCGUCCGUCCCAGAGCGCAGCGAGUUUUCUGCCCGCGCUACUGGACCGGGCCGCUGGCCGCCGGUGAAUCCAUUUUCUCAAGGUUGACCUCGGAUCAGGUGGGGAUACCCGCUGAACUUAAGCAUAUCAAUAAGCGGAGGA